CUCUUCCUACGGGACGCAGCAGUGGGGAAUAUUGGGCAAUGGGCGCAAGCCCGACCCAGCAACGCCGCGUGAAGGAGGAAGGCUUUCGGGUUGUAAACUUCUUUUGUCAGGGACGAAGCAAGUGACGGUACCUGACGAAUAAGCCACGGCUAACUACGUGCCAGCAGCCGCGGUAAUACGUAGGUGGCAAGCGUUAUCCGGAUUUAUUGGGUGUAAAGGGCGUGUAGGCGGGAGCGCAAGUCAGAUGUGAAAACUCAGGGCUCAACCCUGAGCCUGCAUUUGAAACUGUGUUUCUUGAGUGCUGG
This 305-nucleotide ribosomal RNA is filed under the name uncultured bacterium. RNAcentral's name for it is "bacterial SSU rRNA". It matches the Rfam family "Bacterial small subunit ribosomal RNA", at positions 333 to 652 of the family's 1533-position model. The record is from RNAcentral.